This is a non-coding RNA of Vicugna pacos (alpaca), 1393 nucleotides long. The record is from RefSeq and is a predicted model, not a curated record. NCBI's taxonomy places the organism in Eukaryota, Metazoa, Chordata, Mammalia, Artiodactyla, Camelidae.
UUUGUGCUCGUGUAGUAAAUUAGAGAUGAUGUAAUGUUAAAAUGAAGACUACAAACCCCAUCAUUCUACCAAACUAGAUGGAAAUCCAGGUGUUACUAGAACAAAGUUCUCAUAAGAAGCUUGAAUGGGGAAUGUUCCCUGUCCAGGUUUCCUCAUGUUGUUUGCAGACCUCCUCUCCUUGUGACUCUAGGACUGAAGUCUCCAUUUUCUUGUUGGCUAUCAUCUGGGGGCUCUCAGUCCCUAAAGGCUGACCAAAGUCCUGUUACCUAGUCCUAUCCACAGUCAGUAAAAAGCAAGGGCUUUCAGUCAUACAGAUACAAGAAAACGAAUUCUGCCAACAACGUGAAUGCCCUUUGAAGUGGAUCAUUGCCUAGUGGAGUCUCUGGAUAAGCAAGCAGCCUGACUGAAGAACUGAUUGUAGCCUUGUGAUCCCCUGAGUAGAGGACCCAGGACACAAAAGGAUGAAGAAGACACGAGCUUCAGAAGCUGAUGGCCUGGUGGAAACAUAGUACAGGAAUACGAGCCCCUAGAAGAAUCCUCACCUAUAAAUUCGAAUUGAUAGGGACAUAUGAGAAAGAAAUUACAGCGGUUUGAAAAGGAGAUGGGUUUCAUCCAGAAAGAAAGAAGACAAGAAAAGUCUUCCUUGAAGGAAUCUCAUUUGACGUGGACUCAAAGGACAGUGAUUGGCAUCUGAAUGGAAUACUUUUGAAAAGAUCAUCCUUGUAAGUUACAGACCUCUUCCCUUCAUCACUCCCAUGAUGCUCUUGUCCUACAUCGUCCCCUAGGCAGUAACGGCAGAAAUGCAAGCCAGCCAAAGACUUAGAGCUAAUCCACAGAGGAAUAAGAUCAAGCCAAGAUAUCAGAAGAGGGACUGGCUGUUCAGAUCAUAACUAAAGAGGAUGGAGAAGACCAGCUCUAAGCCAGAAAACAAAACCUUGGAGGAAACCAAAUCAGGGAAAGCAUGGACGCAGUCCCCCACUACCACGAAUUGUGCAGACGAAUUUCCCACAUUUGGGAAAACUGCAGGAGUCAGCACAUGUGGAGUGCAAUGGAUAAGCCUUGCCCUGGGAAAAUCACCUUUGUGAUCAUGGUAUCGCCCCUGCCAGGUAAGUCUGGGACUUGAAUUUAAAUUGAUCUUAUAUAUUGGAACUUUAAGAUACAGUUCUGCUUUGUUUUUCCCUUGAAAUGAGAAUCACCUCAUAAAUUCAAAUACCUGGGCUCAUGAUUACUUUUUCAAUAUGGUAGGGAGUUAAGAUUUCAUUCAUUCAGUAAAUAUUUAUUAAAUAUCUAUUAGAUAUAAGAUGCUGCUGCUGUAUUAGGUACUGGAAAUUGAGAGAGAAAUAAGAGGAAGCCUCUGCCCUUUCAGAGCUUACAGCCAAGCAAAGAAAGUAGA